Xenia sp. Carnegie-2017 is the source of this 788-nucleotide long non-coding RNA. RefSeq lists it as uncharacterized. The record is from RefSeq and is a predicted model, not a curated record. Lineage: Eukaryota; Metazoa; Cnidaria; Anthozoa; Malacalcyonacea; Xeniidae. The transcript is spliced from 2 exons.
CAAAAACUAACAAGUAACAAACGUAAAUCAAACCGCAUGGUUUCCGUUAAAAAUUGCAAAAAAAGAAUUUAUUAUAAAUAGAGCAAUUGAAUGAAUGAUUAUCACUAAAUUCUGUGCAAUUGAAUUGUAUUAUUUAAAUAUUUGGGGGCUGUUCGUGGAACAGUCCAUGUGUCGAUGUGAGGCGACUCUCUCCGUUAAACGACGACGACGAUUCACUUUUACAGUUUAAAAGAUGUUUACAGGUGACACCCAUCAACCAUUAACAGCAUGCUGCCUGCUCGGCAUGUUGUGACUGUGUUCAAUCAUGGUUGUGAGGAAUUUAUACAAGUUGGCUAGCGAUGUGGCUUGUUUCCUAACCCUAUCUUUUUCUCCCUGACCAUCUACGUAACCAACUAAGUAUUCUUUCAGUCAACAAGUGGGGGUCGUUUGACGCUUAGCUUCCCACCCAAAAAGAGUCAAAGUGUUCCGCAUCAAGGUCAGCUUAACACGUUUGGUUCACCGAGGCCCUAUGUCCUUUGUGAAAAGAUUGACGGAUCCUACUGUCGGAUGCUUACUUUAUGUGUGUUCACACGAUCCGUUUUUUAAAAUCCAACAAAUCAGAUAGUGUGUGAACAGGCCUUAAAAAUGACUUGUGUUAGCACAAUAUUAUAGGAUAUAUUGUGAAUCUGUAUGUAACAUUUUUUUCUCGGUGUUUGCCAAUUGUACGAAAAAUAAAUUGUAUCAGUCUGAUUGUGUUCAAUAUAUAAUGUAAAAUUUUAUGAUAAUCUAAUAAACUGUUUUUACUAUGA